AUGUGUGUAGCCAGGGUCCUGACAGCCCACUCCGUCCCCUGCAGGCACUGGGCUCCCUCUGCUCCCCGUGGGCCGCUCCCCGCGUGGGGCCACUGCCCCCGGCCCCCGCCAUGGUGCGGAUUUCAAAGCCCAAGACGUUUCAGGCCUACCUGGAUGAUUGUCACCGGAGGUAUAGCUGUGCCCACUGCCGCGCUCACCUGGCCAACCACGACGACCUCAUCUCCAAGUCCUUCCAGGGCAGUCAGGGGCGAGCCUACCUCUUCAACUCUGUGGUGAACGUGGGCUGCGGGCCAGCCGAGGAGCGGGUGCUGCUGACAGGCCUCCAUGCUGUCGCUGACAUCCAUUGUGAAAACUGCAAGACCACUUUGGGCUGGAAAUAUGAACAGGCCUUCGAGAGCAGCCAGAAGUACAAAGAGGGGAAGUACAUCAUUGAACUCAACCACAUGAUCAAAGACAACGGCUGGGACUGACCCCUGCUCCUGACGCAUGUGGCGCCAGCCCGGCCUGGCCGCCAGGGGGCGCCACUGGCUUCUCUUCACCCGAACGGAGCUCUGGACCCUCAGGCCCCCUACGGAGGAAGGAUCCAGCUCCUGUACAUAUAUUUUAUUGCAUGCACUGUGACCUUGGGGGGAGAUCGGAAGGUGGACAAAGUGGACGACACCCCCGCACCUCCCUGCGAUCUGGCUGGCUUGGAUCUCGUUUUUAAACCCCUUCCUACCCCGCCUGCCCUCUAGAUAUGGCCUGUGUGCUGCUCUCUUGGCCCCAGUGCACCAUCUGCCCCGUGACGUUCUCCCACCGAGCCCCUCUUACCCUACGCGUGUCUGCUCCCCUUGUUCUGUAGCGUUUGUACAUAAUAAAACAAUGGAGUGGAGACAGC
This 877-nucleotide unclassified non-coding RNA is filed under the name Bos taurus (domestic cattle). Its description in RNAcentral is "yippee-like 3". Lineage: Eukaryota; Metazoa; Chordata; Mammalia; Artiodactyla; Bovidae. The record is from RNAcentral.